This 497-nucleotide ribosomal RNA is filed under the name uncultured bacterium. RNAcentral describes it as "partial 16S ribosomal RNA". It matches the Rfam family "Bacterial small subunit ribosomal RNA", at positions 28 to 507 of the family's 1533-position model. The record is from RNAcentral.
GAUGAACGCUGGCGGCGUGCCUAAUACAUGCAAGUCGAGCGAACAGACGAGGAGCUUGCUCCUCUGACGUUAGCGGCGGACGGGUGAGUAACACGUGGAUAACCUACCUAUAAGACUGGGAUAACUUCGGGAAACCGGAGCUAAUACCGGAUAAUAUAUUGAACCGCAUGGUUCAAUAGUGAAAGACGGUUUUGCUGUCACUUAUAGAUGGAUCCGCGCCGCAUUAGCUAGUUGGUAAGGUAACGGCUUACCAAGGCAACGAUGCGUAGGCGACCUGAGAGGGUGAUCGGCCACACUGGAGCUGAGACACGGUCCAGACUCCUACGGGAGGCAGCAGUAGGGAAUGUUCCGCAAUGGGCGAAAGCCUGACGGAGCAACGCCACGUGAGUGAUGAAGGUCUUCGGAUCGUAAAACUCUGUUAUUAGGGAAGAACAAAUGUGUAAGUAACUAUGCACGUCUUGACGGUACCUAAUCAGAAAGCCACGGCUAACUACGUG